Molecule: long non-coding RNA, 1292 nt
Organism: Aethalodelphis obliquidens (Pacific white-sided dolphin)
Lineage: Eukaryota; Metazoa; Chordata; Mammalia; Artiodactyla; Delphinidae
Exons: 4
Source: RefSeq, a predicted model, not a curated record
CGGUGUUUGAGCAGGGGAGGAAAUUAACUGGACAGAGUAUUCAGGUGGAAUGGAGGAGAAAGAGAUCAGAAUGUGGAUCCUGGUGUGGAAGAGGCACUGAGUGAGGACGAAGGCAGGGGGCAAUGCGGUGUGACUCAGAUACCUGUGCCAAAUGCCUGUCCAUGGGGGAGGUGUCUAGGGAGGAACCUUAAGAUUUUGGGCCAGGGUGACAAGAUAAAUGGCAGCACAAGUUACCAAAUUAAUGAGCCUAGGAGGGAUAAGGUUUUUUUCAUUUAUUUUUGUUUUCAUGAAGGAAGAAGAAAAUCUAAAAAUCAACUCGGUUUUGAACACUUUGAAGGUUUAAGAUGCCAGGUCCAAGUGACAAUGUUCAGACAGGCCUGGAACUUGAGGACAUGGCCUGGACAAGAAUCCUCAGCACAAGGGUGACAUUUGAAACCCCGGGAGCAGACUAAAUCGUGGAGGGGUGAGCAUACCAGAGGACUCACCGUGGGGGCCAUGCUCUCAGAGAAUAAAGGACUUGGCUGCUGUGGCUGUACUGAUGUGCUCCAUAUGAAUAUCUUCUGACCCAUUCAUCAGAUCUGGGCUUCUGGGGCAGAGCUGCUGUCCUUAGUGAGGGCCUUGGACAGGGAGAGCCUAUGGAUUGAGGAGGGAAUAGGGCCAGGGGAGCGGAGGAGGGCGGCGGGCGGGAAGGGAGAGAAAGGAAGUGAAAGGCAGACAGAUAGGGAGCUCAGAGGCAGAAUAGAAGAUUCAGGUCUGAGUUAGUCCACAAGAACCCAGGAAGACAUCUUCCCGGUCUCCACCGGCUCAUCAAAUGGGAUCAAGAUGAGAGCCAGAGAGAGUCCAGUACAGGGUGAUGCUGAUGCUGUUGAUCAAGACCAUACUUUGUGGAGCAAGGAUCUGGUGCAAACCCUUCCUGUAAACGGUUGGGAAGACUGAGGCCACAGGGGGAGAGUGACUUUCCCAAGAUACUUCAUCAGGCUGGAGGAAGGGUCUCAGGAAAUCAUUUGGAUGCUGCCAGAGAAACAGCUCUGCAUCCUGGGACCCAGCCCCACAAGCAUCUGGAUGGACAUUCUCCUGAGAGUCCAUUUCCCAGGGUCCCUAGGGACUCUGCAAGGUGAGUUCUGAACGGGUUUCUCUAGUGUUCUGGACAGUGCAGAGGUCUUUAAGAAACUGGUCACCUCAGUGUCUUGCCUGGCCUUUCCAUUUUGUCUUAGAAAAGUUUGUCCCUAAGUCAGUUUCCUUGGCAUUAGAAUGAGAAAGAUAAAACCACUAGUGACUCAGGGCUGCUGUGA